Molecule: ribosomal RNA, 425 nt
Filed under: uncultured bacterium
Lineage: Bacteria
Description: bacterial SSU rRNA
Rfam family: Bacterial small subunit ribosomal RNA
Source: RNAcentral
UCGAGAAUCUUCGGCAAUGGGCGAAAGCCUGACCGAGCGACGCCGCGUGCGGGAUGAAGGCCUUCGGGUUGUAAACCGCUGUCAGAGGGGCGGAAAUGCGUUGGGGUUCUCCCCAGCGCUUGACUUAACCUCAGAGGAAGCACGGGCUAAGUUCGUGCCAGCAGCCGCGGUAAGACGAACCGUGCAAACGUUAUUCGGAAUCACUGGGCUUAAAGCGUGCGUAGGCGGCGCAGAAAGUUGGGUGUGAAAUGCCUCGGCUCAACCGAGGAAUUGCGCCCAAAACUACUGUGCUCGAGGGAGUUAGAGGUGAGCGGAACUCACGGUGGAGCGGUGAAAUGCGUUGAUAUCGUGAGGAACACCGGAGGCGAAAGCGGCUCACUGGGGCUUUUCUGACGCUGAGGCACGAAAGCUAGGGGAGCAAACGG